RNAcentral lists this ribosomal RNA (436 nucleotides) under uncultured ascomycota sp. JK2-4. RNAcentral's name for it is "SSU rRNA". It matches the Rfam family "Eukaryotic small subunit ribosomal RNA", at positions 1113 to 1570 of the family's 1831-position model. Lineage: Eukaryota; Fungi; Ascomycota. The record is from RNAcentral.
UCUGGGGGGAGUAUGGUCGCAAGGCUUGAAACUUAAAGAAAUUGACGGAAGGGCACCACAAGGCGUGGAGCCUGCGGCUUGAUUUGACUCAACACGGGGAAACUCACCAGGUCCAGACAAAAUAAGGAUUGACAGAUUGAGAGCUCUUUCUUGAUCUUUUGGAUGGUGGUGCAUGGCCGUUCUUAGUUGGUGGAGUGAUUUGUCUGCUCAAUUGCGAUAACGAACGAGACCUUAACCUGCUAAAUAGCCAGGCUAGCUUUGGCUGGUCGCCGGCUUCUUAGAGGGACUAUCGGCUCAAGCCGAUGGAAGUUUGAGGCAAUAACAGGUCUGUGAUGCCCUUAGAUGUUCUGGGCCGCACGCGCGCUACACUGACAGAGCCAACGAGUUAUUCACCUUGGCCGGAAGGUCUGGGUAAUCUUGUUAAACUCUGUCGUGC